RNAcentral lists this ribosomal RNA (429 nucleotides) under Pseudomonadota bacterium. Its description in RNAcentral is "Proteobacteria bacterium partial 16S ribosomal RNA". It matches the Rfam family "Bacterial small subunit ribosomal RNA", at positions 355 to 776 of the family's 1533-position model. Lineage: Bacteria; Pseudomonadati; Pseudomonadota. The record is from RNAcentral.
UGGGGAAUAUUGGACAAUGGGCGAAAGCCUGAUCCAGCCAUGCCGCGUGUGUGAAGAAGGUCUUCGGAUUGUAAAGCACUUUAAGUUGGGAGGAAGGGCAGUAAGCGAAUACCUUGCUUUUUUGACGUUACCGACAGAAUAAGCACCGGCUAACUCUGUGCCAGCAGCCGCGGUAAUACAGAGGGUGCAAGCGUUAAUCGGAAUUACUGGGCGUAAAGCGCGCGUAGGUGGUUCGUUAAGUUGAAUGUGAAAGCCCCGGGCUCAACCUGGGAACUGCAUCCAAAACUGGCGAGCUAGAGUAGGGCAGAGGGUGGUGGAAUUUCCUGUGUAGCGGUGAAAUGCGUAGAUAUAGGAAGGAACACCAGUGGCGAAGGCGACCACCUGGGCUCAUACUGACACUGAGGUGCGAAAGCGUGGGGAGCAAACAGG